This 255-nucleotide ribosomal RNA is filed under the name uncultured bacterium. Its description in RNAcentral is "partial 16S ribosomal RNA". It matches the Rfam family "Bacterial small subunit ribosomal RNA", at positions 524 to 776 of the family's 1533-position model. The record is from RNAcentral.
UACGUAGGUGGCGAGCGUUGUCCGGAUUUACUGGGCGUAAAGCGCGCGCAGGCGGACUGAUCAGUCUGGGGUGAAAUCUCACGGCUCAACUGUGAGCGGUCCCUGGAUACUGUCAGUCUUGAGAUGUCUAGAGGAGAGCGGAAUUCCCGGUGUAGCGGUGGAAAUGCGCAGAUAUCAGGAGGAACACCGAUGGCGAAGGCAGCUCGCUGGGACGGUAACUGACGCUGAGGCGCGAAAGCGUGGGGAGCAAACAGG